AAAAAUCAAAAAGGCCCGGUCCCGUUUGGGCCAUAUGCUCUCGGAAAGCCCAAGCUCAAUGUGUUACUCUUGGACUGACAGCCCGGAAGAAGAAAAAAAAAAAGUCGUCGUUCGCCGCCCCCUUCCCCUCCCCGCGGCGAGCGGAGCCAUGUCCGCCGCGGGAUCCACCUCGUCGCCCGAGCCUUCGGAAGCCGUCCGCGGAAGCCUCAUCCCAGUCCUCCCCGACGACCUGGCCGUCCACUGCAUCGCGCGCCUCCCGCGCGCCGCGCACCCUGCGCUUGCCCUCGUCUCCCGCGCGCUGCACGCCCUCCUCUGCCGCCACCCGGAGCCGCUCCUGGCCGCCCGGAAACGGCUCGGCCUCUCUGACCCGCACGUCCUCGUCUCCCUCCGCCCGCCUUCCUCCGCGUCGCCUCUCUUCUUCCUCCUGCUCCCGCAGCCCGGGUGGCCCCCUCUGCCGCUCCCCACCCCGCCGGUCCCCGUCUCCUCCUCCUCGGCCGCCGCCGCCGCCGGGAGCCGGCUCUUCCUCGUCGGGGGCUCCGUGGACGGCGUGCCCGCUCCGUCGGUGCAGGUGCUGGACGCCCGCACCAGAUCCUGGUCCGUCGGCCCGCGCCUCUCCUCCCCGCGGGAGUUCGCCGCCGCCGUCGCGCUCCCCGGCGCGCUGUUCGUCGCCGGGGGCUGUGUCCCGUCGUCCCCCUUCUGGGCCGAGUCCCUCGAUCUCGCUUCCCCACGCGCGAAAUGGGCCCCGGUCCCCAGCCCGGACCACCUCCGGGAGAAGUGGAUACACGGCUGCGUGUCGCUCGCCGGGAAGGUGCUUGCGGUGGCCGACCGCGGCGGCUUGGCGUACGACCCGGCCGCGCCGCCUGCCGAGGCCUGGGCGCCGGUCUCUCCGGUGCUUGACAUGGGGUGGAAGGGCCGUGCUGCCGUCGUCGGUGGGAUCCUCUACUCCUACGAUUACAUGGGGCAGGUCAAGGGCUAUGACCCGGACACGGACGCCUGGAGCAUGGUGCAAGGGCUCGACAAGGAGUUGCCGAGGUUCCUGUGUGGCGCCACUCUUGCCAACGUUGGCGGACUGCUCUACCUCAUCUGGGAAGUGAAGUGGAAAGGGAAAGCUAGCGCUAGCGAUGGCGAAGUGAGGGGCAUGGUGGCGGUCGAAUGGGCUACCAUUGAGGUGACGAGCGCCAAAGAGGGGCGGUUAAUGGGGAAGGUAAUGUGCAGGGAUACUGUUGUGUUCGCAGACAUGCCAAGGGGGUCAGCAAUCACACAUUGUGUUGCAUUGGAUCUAUGACAUGGUUCCUGCAGUCAAAAGGGUUAUUGUGCUCCGGGAGUUGAAAAGCUCAGUAAUGUGUGCAGUGCCGCCUGACGUCUUUUUACAAGUAUCGCAAAUAGAAAAUGAGCAGUUUGCUUGGUCAUAACUCAUAGCUGUUUUGUUGAUAAAGUGAAUUGCAUCGAUAAUGCGUGCGAUGAGUGCCUUAUUUCAGGGAAGCAGAGCAAUGAUAAACUUGGCUAGAUGACACUUGAUUCAGGAAUUUGUGGAACAUGUACUGUGCACGGGGAGCUCCCCAUUGGGAUUCAAUGGUCCUUCAACUCGGUGCGUGUUGAUUAUUUGGAACUGAAAGUGAAUCGAUGUUGGCGGAAAUGGUGAGGAAACCUUGGCUCCUUGUAAUGCUUAAAUGUUGUCAUUUUACAGAGGAGUGGCAUAUAGUCAAGCCGAACAUAAACUUGACACUUCGACAAUGGAAGUCGUCUACAGUCUACAAUUGGGAUGACGUUAUGCCAAAAGAAAAAUGAGGGAUGAAGAUCUGUCACUCUGCAGUCCUGUGAUUAAUUGCUGCAGAGCAAGCAUGGUCCGGGAGCCAAUCGCCGUGCAUACUCUUCCUUUGAUCACCUGUGGUCGUGGUGGAUGGGCUUGGCUGCCGGCUUCAGCAUGGAGGACACCGGCGGCUUGGCGGCGAGGGAGAUUGCGGCCUGGAAGGCCUCACGGGAGGCUGUCCGGAGCAACCCCAAGACGACCCUGUUUGCCGCCGGCAUCUCUUGGCAGAAGGCGCACGACAGGAAACAAUGCACGGACGAAGGCUGCAUGCAUACCCUGGGGAGUAUGGCUUAUAAAGGAGAGGAUCCCCCAAAGCCUAAAUUUGGGGGGAGACCGCCGGUUACGGACGAAGGGCUGGUCUUAUUCUGGCUGUUAUAAAUUGACAGCGGCGUGCGCAUUUUCAGAGCACCGGUCAAAAGCGCGCGUGAUUGGAUUUCAGUUUUGGCCGCCCUUUGCUUUCUUCGGAAGAGUUUAUGUGAAGAGAGACAUUGUUCAGGGCUACCAGGCUAAGGUAACAUUCAUCUAAAAAAAAGAGGCCAUUGGUAAAAUUGGAGUGCUAUUGCAAAAAAUGGAAGCAUGUUUUACAAUCCAGAAUGACCGUAGCAGCUCAUGCAGAAAGACGUGCGCUGUAAAAGACCUUUAUAUCGAAGGUUUUGUAAAAGCUUUUGAGGAGUAUAAUUCCUACAAAACAUCAUAUGUGUAGACUGUUUAAUCUGUAGGAUUUCAUUGUAUAAGAAAAUCUUGUCGCAUUAUUCUCUCUGAAACUUCUGCAAAGCUCUCAUAGAGCAUUCGAAUAGCUGGUCA
This is an RNA transcript of Brachypodium distachyon (stiff brome), 2614 nucleotides long. It is a transcript of the gene named F-box/kelch-repeat protein SKIP6, with no coding region annotated. NCBI's taxonomy places the organism in Eukaryota, Viridiplantae, Streptophyta, Magnoliopsida, Poales, Poaceae. The record is from RefSeq and is a predicted model, not a curated record. The transcript is spliced from 4 exons.